GCACUGGUUUAGCUCAGUGGUUACUUCUCUGCACAAAUCUACCUGAUUUCGAGCUUCACUCCCUCCGCGGGAUCAAACCACGGGCGCUGUCCAGUGUUUUC
This 101-nucleotide vault RNA is filed under the name Acanthochromis polyacanthus (spiny chromis). RNAcentral's name for it is "Vault RNA (ENSAPOG00000018715.1)". It matches the Rfam family "Vault RNA". Rfam says of the family: This family of RNAs are found as part of the enigmatic vault ribonucleoprotein complex. The complex consists of a major vault protein (MVP), two minor vault proteins (VPARP and TEP1), and several small untranslated RNA molecules. Lineage: Eukaryota; Metazoa; Chordata; Actinopteri; Pomacentridae. The record is from Rfam by way of RNAcentral.